UUGAAUGAUGCCAAGAUUGUCGAUGCCCAAGCGGGGUAUGAAUCAAUGAUGACCUUGAUGGCAGCUAGCGUAACGGGUAUCAACUUUGUUCUUCAUACGG
Peptococcaceae bacterium BRH_c23 is the source of this 100-nucleotide non-coding RNA. NCBI's taxonomy places the organism in Bacteria, Bacillati, Bacillota, Clostridia, Eubacteriales, Peptococcaceae. The record is from Rfam.